This 255-nucleotide ribosomal RNA is filed under the name Clostridioides sp. ZZV14-6104. Its description in RNAcentral is "partial 16S ribosomal RNA". It matches the Rfam family "Bacterial small subunit ribosomal RNA", at positions 512 to 766 of the family's 1533-position model. The record is from RNAcentral. RNAcentral also lists the same sequence under 1 other name. Lineage: Bacteria; Bacillati; Bacillota; Clostridia; Peptostreptococcales; Peptostreptococcaceae.
CAGCCGCGGUAAUACGGAGGAUCCGAGCGUUAUCCGGAUUUAUUGGGUUUAAAGGGAGCGUAGAUGGAUGUUUAAGUCAGUUGUGAAAGUUUGCGGCUCAACCGUAAAAUUGCAGUUGAUACUGGAUAUCUUGAGUGCAGUUGAGGCAGGCGGAAUUCGUGGUGUAGCGGUGAAAUGCUUAGAUAUCACGAAGAACUCCGAUUGCGAAGGCAGCCUGCUAAGCUGCAACUGACAUUGAGGCUCGAAAGUGUGGGU